RNAcentral lists this ribosomal RNA (460 nucleotides) under uncultured bacterium. Its description in RNAcentral is "partial 16S ribosomal RNA". It matches the Rfam family "Bacterial small subunit ribosomal RNA", at positions 338 to 795 of the family's 1533-position model. The record is from RNAcentral.
CCUACGGGAGGCAGCAGUGAGGAAUAUUGGUCAAUGGGCGCAAGCCUGAACCAGCCAAGUCGCGUGAGGGAUGACGGUCCUAUGGAUUGUAAACCUCUUUUGUCGGGGAGCAAGGCCCGCCACGUGUGGCGGGAAGGAGAGUACCCGAAGAAAAAGCAUCGGCUAACUCCGUGCCAGCAGCCGCGGUAAUACGGAGGAUGCGAGCGUUACCCGGAUUUAUUGGGUUUAAAGGGUGCGUAGGCGGAAGGUUAAGUCAGCGGUAAAAUGUCGGUGCGCAACACCGGCCUGCCGUUGAAACUGGUCUUCUUGAGUGAGCGAGAAGUAUGCGGAAUGCGUGGUGUAGCGGUGAAAUGCAUAGAUAUCACGCAGAACUCCGAUUGCGAAGGCAGCAUACCGGCGCUCAACUGACGCUGAGGCACGAAAGCGUGGGGAUCGAACAGGAUUAGAUACCCGAGUAGUC